AUGUCGUCCGCGCCGGCGCCAGGCGGGGCGUUCGACCGCUACGUCCAGCGCGGCGGCGCGGUGGCGGUGCCGGCCUCAAGCGGCAACACGGUUUUCAAGAGUGGACAUCUCUUCAUAUCAUCCAAAGGACUUGGAUGGAAAUCAUGGAAAAAACGCUGGUUCAUUCUCACACGAACAUCAUUAGUUUUCUUCAAGAGUAAUCCUAAUACCUUGCCCCAGAGAAGUGGUGAAGUGAGUGCUACUCUGGGUGGGAUUGAUUUAAACAAUUCUGGCAGUGUGGUAGUCAGAGAAGACAAAAAAUUGUUGACUGUCCUUUUCCCACAUGGUCGUGAUGGUCGUGCCUUCACCCUUAAGGCAGAAACUUCUGAAGAUUUAUUUGAGUGGAAAGCAGCAUUAGAAGAAGCUCUUGCACAGGCUCCAAAUGCAGCUCUUGUGAUGGGGCACAAUGGGAUAUUUCGCAAUGACACUUGUGAUGCAUAUGAAACAACGGCUCCAAAUUGGCGAGAGAAAAGGCCAGUCAAGUCACUAGUUGUUGGCAGGCCAAUUCUGCUUGCGCUCGAAGAUAUCGAUGGCAGCCCUUCUUUUCUAGAAAAAGCCAUGCGUUAUCUUGAGAAACAUGGGAUAAGGGUGGAAGGAAUUUUGCGCCAGGCUGCUGAUGUGGAGGAGGUUGAUAGGAGGCUACGUGAAUAUGAACAAGGAAGAACCGAGUUUGCACCAGGCGAGGAUGCACAUAUUGUUGGUGACUGUGUGAAGCAUGUUCUUCGUGAGCUACCAUCUUCGCCAGUACCUUCUUUUUGUUGUACAGCUUUAUUGGAAGCUUUUCGCUUGGAGACUAAGGAAGCUCGGAUAAAUGCUAUGCGUUCAGCUAUAUCUGAGACAUUUCCUGAGCCUAAUCGGCGCUUGUUACAGAGAAUCUUGAAAAUGAUGUACAUUGUUGCUUCUCAUACCAUGGAGAAUCGGAUGACCGCAUCAGCAGUUGCUGCCUGUAUGGCCCCUCUCUUGCUGCGUCCGCUUUUGGCUGGGGAGUGUGAGAUGGAUGAAGUAUUUGAUGUGGAUGGUGAUGAUUCUGCCCAGCUUCUUGCUGCUGCAAAUGCUGCAAACAGCGCUCGGGGCAUUGUUGCAACUCUCUUGGAGGAAUAUGAGAUUAUAUUUGAUGAUGACCGUCUUGUCAGAUCUUCCCUAUCACCUGGGUCUCAGAUUGAAGACAGUGGCAGUGAAGCAUCAACUGAUAAUGUAAAUAUGGACACAAAAGAUAAUGGAUUUCAUGAUGCAGAAAAUGAUGUAGAUCAAGAAAUGGACGAUGACAAUGGUGCAGAGCGUAUACUUAGUGGAAAAUUGAGUGAGAGCAGUGGAUAUGCUGGGAGCGACCUAUAUGAUUACAAGGUUCAUGCUGAUGAUUCAGACGCUGAUUGCUUUGUUGAUGAUAAAGGAUUGGAAGAAGAGACAGAUUUAAGCAAAGUUCCAAAAAUUCAUUCAUCUGAAAAUGGUUCAAAAAAUAUGGAAAUGCCUCCGAGUGAAAAGAAUCCUUCCAACCCAACAUCCGGUCAUGAAACUCCAUUGUCUAUGGGAGAGAUUCUUUCUUCUUUGGAUCCUGGAAUUACUUUACCUAGUAACAGUUCGGAAUAUUCUGCAGACAGACACUCGAACAAAACUAAUGGAUCUCACUCACAUGUGAAGCGCAGUAACUUUUGGGGGCGUAAUAGUGCAAGAAAGAGUCAGCAUUCAGAAUCAGUCGACUCAUCUGGUGAAGAAGAGCUUGCGAUUCAAAGGCUUGAAAUUGCGAAGAAUGAUUUGCAGAACAGAAUUGCCAAAGAGGCUCGGGGUAAUGCAGUUUUACAUGCGAGUUUAGAAAGAAGAAAGCAAGCACUACAUGAACGCCGUUUGGCCCUGGAACAGGAUGUGUCCAGGUUGCAAGAGCAGCUACAAGCUGAGAGAGAUCUUAGAUCUGCACUGGAGGUUGGGUUGAGCAUGUCUUCUGGACAGUUUUCAAGUCCACGUGCUAUGGACUCAAAGACAAGGGCUGAGCUUGAGGAGAUUGCUCUCGCUGAAACUGACGUUGCGAGGUUAAAACAGAAGGUGGCUGAACUUCACCUCCUACUCAAUCAACAACGCCAACAACAAUAUGGCCCAUCUCUUGAUGCAAAUGAUCGUUAUCACUGUAAUCCUGGCCAUUUUUCACAGCAAAACUUUGUUCAACCAGGAUUUGACAUGAACCUUGCCUUUUGCAAUCAAGAGAAGCACAGAAAUGAGGAGAGCUCGGUGGAUGCAUCUCAAUGGAGGAACAUCAAACAGCAUGUGCUACCUUUUGGUUCUUCAAGGCCACUAACCCGCAAGCUUUCCUUAGACACAUCUUCAAGUGAUUCACGAGGCAUGGAGGCAUCAACAAGCAUGUCAUCAGAGAACACUUCUGUGGUAAUCAAUGUUCCCAAAUUAGCUGAGGGUGUUGGAUAUGGGAGGCAGCCAAUGGUGGCAUCCUCCACUUUGGUAGAACUAACAACUAGGCUAGAUUUCUUUAAAGAACGGAGGUCGCAGCUGAUGGAACAACUCCAUAGUCUUGAUUUAGGGCAUGGAUCUGCUUCUCAGGGUUUUGAGUACAAGCCGCCUUCUCCUUGGAACAGUCCAAGGUAG
RNAcentral lists this ribosomal RNA (2628 nucleotides) under Triticum aestivum (bread wheat). Its description in RNAcentral is "partial small subunit ribosomal RNA". The record is from RNAcentral. Lineage: Eukaryota; Viridiplantae; Streptophyta; Magnoliopsida; Poales; Poaceae.